GACAGAGGAGGCGAGCGUUAUCCGGAGUCAUUGGGCGUAAAGGGUACGUAGGCGGCUAGUCAAGUCUGAGGUUAAAGACCACAGCUUAACUGUGGGAAGGCCUUGGAAACUGACUGGCUAGAGUGGGGCAGGGGUUGCGGGAAUUCCCGGUGUAGCGGUGAAAUGCGUAGAUAUCGGGAAGAACACCUGAGGCGAAAGCGCGCAACUGGGCCCUAACUGACGCUGAGGUACGAAAGCUAGGGGAGCGAAUGGG
Molecule: ribosomal RNA, 253 nt
Filed under: uncultured bacterium
Lineage: Bacteria
Description: partial 16S ribosomal RNA
Rfam family: Bacterial small subunit ribosomal RNA
Source: RNAcentral